UGCGUAGGCGGAAUAUUAAGUCAGUGGUGAAAUCCUGCGGCUCAACCGCAGAACUGCCAUUGAUACUGAUAUUCUUGAAUGUAGUUGAGGUAGGCGGAAUGUGUAAUGUAGCGGUGAAAUGCUUAGAUAUUACACAGAACACCGAUUGCGAAGGCAGCUUACUAAACUAUGAUUGACGCUGAGGCACGAAAGCGUGGGGAGCGAACAGGAUUAGAUACCCUGGUAGUCC
This 229-nucleotide ribosomal RNA is filed under the name uncultured bacterium. Its description in RNAcentral is "partial 16S ribosomal RNA". It matches the Rfam family "Bacterial small subunit ribosomal RNA", at positions 568 to 796 of the family's 1533-position model. The record is from RNAcentral.